This 235-nucleotide ribosomal RNA is filed under the name uncultured Methanosarcina sp. RNAcentral describes it as "partial 16S ribosomal RNA". It matches the Rfam family "Archaeal small subunit ribosomal RNA", at positions 748 to 982 of the family's 1478-position model. The record is from RNAcentral. Lineage: Archaea; Methanobacteriati; Methanobacteriota; Methanomicrobia; Methanosarcinales; Methanosarcinaceae.
CAGCCGUAAACGAUGCUCGCUAGGUGUCAGGCAUGGCGCGACCGUGUCUGGUGCCGCAGGGAAGCCGUGAAGCGAGCCACCUGGGAAGUACGGCCGCAAGGCUGAAACUUAAAGGAAUUGGCGGGGGAGCACAACAACGGGUGGAGCCUGCGGUUUAAUUGGACUCAACGCCGGACAACUCACCGGGGACGACAGCAAUAUGUAGGCCAGGCUGAAGACCUUGCCUGAAUCGCUG